Molecule: long non-coding RNA, 1090 nt
Organism: Dermacentor silvarum
Lineage: Eukaryota; Metazoa; Arthropoda; Arachnida; Ixodida; Ixodidae
Exons: 2
Source: RefSeq, a predicted model, not a curated record
AUUUGCCGACGGGCCCCUGUUUGCUGUCAUCUCGACCGAUCGUUUCCCCCUGUCGUAGUAGAAGGCGGACAUCAUCGUGCAAAACGAAACAGCUGGUAAAUCAUACAUCGCCAUGUAGUCUGCUUUUGACGGAAGACUUGGCGCGCAAGCGUCAAAUGGUCGAUGACCUCGUGAGAAGGUGCAUGAUCGCAUAAUGUAUCCCCGGAGCGAAAGACUUGACCAGGUCGAAGCUCGGUGAAUAAAUGGAAAAAAAAAAAAGAAAGGCAAACGAAAAGUGUGAAACGGCGCGCUGUUCGAAUCGCACUGCUACGCAAGUGGUGGCGACUCUGUGCUGACCCAGCUACGCGACUCGUUUUUGUGCUGUCCCUCGCUUAUCGCGGUGUGAAACAGGAUCGCGGCCGGUACACGUGGCCUGUCGCGUUGGCUCCGCGUGGAACCGCGUCGCUUCCCCGAGGGCGCAGUUGCGAGAGGAGUGGUAGCGCAGGAGUAGUACGCGCUCACACACAUUCGGGCGGCUGACGUUGUAGGCAGCAUGGUUCUGUACGUGGUCCUGAUAUUCGUGCCCGUUGCCGCGAUCGGCUUUUUCACGUACAAGCUGAUCCAGAGCUUGCGGGACAAAGAGAAGAGGAAGGAGGACAAGAAGAAGCAGAAGCAGCAAAAGAAGAAGGCCAAGUGAGAGGACAAGGCUGCUGCCAGACUUUCACACACCCCCGUGCAUUGCAGGGCCCGACAUAUCAUCACUCACGGGGGGGCGAACGGCAAUCUUGGAAAACCAACCUCGCUACCGCUGCAGCGUUGACAAUGCUUCGAAGCGGCGGCGAGGUCCGUCUCGGAGUCGACUCGCGACAAUCCGGGCACCACCAAAGCCAUUCUUUGUUGUUUCCUCAUGUGCAUUCCAUUGGAUGAAGACUCCCUCAUUCUUACUCACUUCGAGAAAAAAGACUCAUGCCCGGCAGAUGCAAAUGUUCUAGGCGUUUUGGAAAAUUUUUUUCAUGUAUAUUUACAAGAAAAAAAAAAGGGGGAGUAGAGUCUGGGUUAUAGAAAAACUGUCUGAAAUAUUUAUUGUAUUUACAGAAUAAUAAUAAACAAA